UCCCAUAUUGUCUAGUGGUAAGGAUACUUAGCUCUCACCCAGGAGACCCGGGUUCAAUUCCCGGUAUGGGAA
Molecule: transfer RNA, 72 nt
Filed under: Daphnia pulex (common water flea)
Lineage: Eukaryota; Metazoa; Arthropoda; Branchiopoda; Diplostraca; Daphniidae
Rfam family: tRNA
About the family: Transfer RNA (tRNA) molecules are approximately 80 nucleotides in length. Their secondary structure includes four short double-helical elements and three loops (D, anti-codon, and T loops). Further hydrogen bonds mediate the characteristic L-shaped molecular structure. tRNAs have two regions of fundamental functional importance: the anti-codon, which is responsible for specific mRNA codon recognition, and the 3' end, to which the tRNAs corresponding amino acid is attached (by aminoacyl-tRNA synthetases). tRNAs cope with the degeneracy of the genetic code in two manners: having more than one tRNA (with a specific anti-codon) for a particular amino acid; and 'wobble' base-pairing, i.e. permitting non-standard base-pairing at the 3rd anti-codon position.
Source: Rfam by way of RNAcentral